This is a small nuclear RNA of Thrips palmi, 154 nucleotides long. RefSeq annotates it as U12 minor spliceosomal RNA. Lineage: Eukaryota; Metazoa; Arthropoda; Insecta; Thysanoptera; Thripidae. The transcript has a single exon. The record is from RefSeq and is a predicted model, not a curated record.
GUGCCUUAAACUAAUGAGUAAGGAAAAUACAGAGCCCUGGUGACGCUUGGCUCCGCUAACAUGCAUUAGUUACAACAAUUUUUGAAGGAGUACAGGCCGUCCUCCCGGCAACCCGCCUACUUUCGCGGGUAGCUGGAGUGAAGCGGUCUGCUCC